RNAcentral lists this long non-coding RNA (1193 nucleotides) under Vulpes vulpes (red fox). Its description in RNAcentral is "lncRNA (ENSVVUG00000012903.1)". The record is from RNAcentral. Lineage: Eukaryota; Metazoa; Chordata; Mammalia; Carnivora; Canidae.
AAAUUACCACAAACUGGGUUACUUAAAAAGACAAAGUUUAUUUUCUCACAGAUUUGAAGGUCAGAAGUCUGAAAUCAAAGUGGGAGCCAUCCUCCCUCCCCAAGGCCCUAGCUCCUAGUGACUCCUGGCAAUCCUUGGUGUUUCUUGGUUUAUUCUGCAUCACUCCAAUCUCUGCUUCCAUCUAACCAUGGCAUUCUUUCCUGUAUCUCUGUUUCCUCUGUGCCUGGGUAUCUCUGUGCCCAAAUCUCCCUGUCCUUUCUUUGAUAAGGGUUCCUAUCAUUGGGUUUCAUGCCCACCCUAAAACCAGGAUGAUUUUAUCUAAAAAUUUUUAAUAAAUUACUACACCUGCACAGAUCCAAUUUCCAAAUAAAGUAACAUACUGGGAGGACAAUAUUCAACCCGCUACUAUGAUCAUGAUGAUGUCACAAUCUUGCAUUAUUUCAUGCCUUAAAAGUUGUCAGACAGAUCAGUUGUAGAGGGGAAGACCUACUGGGGUGAUUGGCCAAAAAUGUGGAGACCUCAGGAUAUGGCACAGGAAGUGAUCUUGGUCCUUGCAUGACAUGGCAGACGGACCUGCAGCAGCCUCAUAGCCUUGCAUGGCUUACAGCAUCCCCUGGCUCUGAUAUGCAUGGGAACAGAAUCAGCAAGUUCUACCCUAAUAUCAAAACUGAAUCACCAGCUACUAGACUAGACCACAGAACAGGUGCUUUUCUGUGUGAUUUGCAGGAAAUUCUCCCACCAGAGACCCGUAUUAUGCCUGGCAUACAGGAGGCAUUCAGAAAAUUUGAUGACUAGAAGUGUGUGUCCAUCUCAAUGACACAGGCUUCAGGCUUCAGCCCUUUCCACAUGCUGAACUUCAUCGGAGUCCCAUGUGUUGAGAGCCUUCUGGAAGAGACCCAACAAUUACAGAGGAGUGCACCAUACAGACUUGGCCUGAAUGUAAUUUCAGCCUGAACUUUCUGGGGAUUGUUAUGGGGUCCCAUCCUGCAGUCUUUCAACAUGAGAAACUCUCCUGGGCAUGGAAGGUUUGGAAAAUCUUCAGGAUUGAAGAGUAUUGCCUCUAGGAUUGAACAUCACGGAGGACCCUGUAACCAGAAUGGACCUUCAGUCUCAUUUCAUGAAGCUGCUGCUUUUCUGUGUCUGUGUGGCCUUCUACUUGAAAUAAAUAAGCAAAGGAUAUAGUUUUAAGUGCA